Molecule: ribosomal RNA, 648 nt
Filed under: Triticum aestivum (bread wheat)
Lineage: Eukaryota; Viridiplantae; Streptophyta; Magnoliopsida; Poales; Poaceae
Description: partial small subunit ribosomal RNA
Source: RNAcentral
AUGGCGGCUAAUGGUGGGCAUGGCAGUGGGAAUCACCCAUUGCGCUGGACAUCUCCAAUGUCUAGGUUCAUGUUACGUUGCUUUGUAGAGAUCAUUGCUAGUGGAGUGAAGACGGAAAAGGGCUUUAAGGAGGUGCACCUAAACCAGGUGGCUAAGAAUUGUAGUGAGCACUUUGGCCUUUCCAUAACCGGGACCCAAGUGUACAACCACCUCCGCAAGUGCCGUGCUAGGUGGGUGAAGAUAAGUAAGCUCCGAGACAUUAGUGGGUCACUUUGGGAUGAUAACAAGUAUGUCAUAUUGCUGGAGGAAGAGCACUACAUGGGCCAUAUCAAGGACCAUCCCAAAGAUGUUGAGUACCUCAAUGUGCCUUUAGAGAAUUAUGUUCAGAUGCUUUCUAUCUUUGGAAGUGUUAUUGCUAUAGGAAGGUAUGCAAUGACAUCUAAUGAGGCUCUUGGGGUUCCUUCAAUGGUGGGAACAUCCUCAUCAUUUGUAAACCUUGAAGCUUGUGGUUCUGAAUUUGUUGUUGAUGGGAAUGAACCUGGCUUGAGUGCUAGUGCUGCUGCUCAUGGGGAAACUACUGCUGCUCCUCAUGGGAAGGAACCAUGUAAGGAUGCGUCUAGCUCCACUGGCAAAAGGAAAGAUGGCUAG